CCUACGGGAGGCAGCAGUGGGGAAUCUUGCGCAAUGGUCGAAAGACUGACGCAGCGACGCCGCGUGCGGGAGGAAGCCCUUCGGGGUGUAAACCGCUGUUACUCGGGACGAAUCUCCCGUUUCGACGGGAUUGACGGUACCGGGGGAGGAAGCACCGGCUAACUCUGUGCCAGCAGCCGCGGUAAUACAGAGGGUGCGAGCGUUGUCCGGAAUCACUGGGCGUAAAGGGCGCGUAGGCGGCUUCUCACGCGUGCGGUGAAAGCCCGGGGCUUAACUCCGGGUCUGCCGUGCGAACGGGGAGGCUUGAGUCUGGUAGAGGUCGAUGGAAUUCCGGGUGUAGCGGUGGAAUGCGUAGAGAUCCGGAAGAACACCGGUGGCGAAGGCGGUCGACUGGGCCAGUACUGACGCUGAGGCGCGACAGCGUGGGGAGCAAACAGGAU
Molecule: ribosomal RNA, 440 nt
Filed under: uncultured bacterium
Lineage: Bacteria
Description: bacterial SSU rRNA
Rfam family: Bacterial small subunit ribosomal RNA
Source: RNAcentral